Molecule: non-coding RNA, 45 nt
Organism: Myotis davidii
Lineage: Eukaryota; Metazoa; Chordata; Mammalia; Chiroptera; Vespertilionidae
Source: Rfam
UUAAAGGACUUUUUAAAGUCCAUAAACUUCUUUUUCCCAUGUGAA